UCUUCCCUUGACUCUCUCACUUUCCUUCUGACACGUGAAAGACAAAGAAAAAAAGGAAAAUAAAACACCACCAACCACGAUUCACCUUGAUCUUCCUCCUUCACGCCAUUCGCUCCACCUUCAUCUUCCUCAUCCUUCAUAACCUUCGCCUCUCUCUCCAUCCCAUCUUCCACUCACCGUUAAACAACCAAAAUCUUCCGUCUUCCAUGACUCUCACCAAACCCAUUCCACCUCCACAACCCUUAACCUUCGCAUCUUCACGCCAUACCUCCUUAAACCUUUACACAAACCCUCGCCGCUUCUACCAUCCAUAAACCCCACACGGACACCAAACUCCCACUCCUCCGCUCUUU
This 353-nucleotide long non-coding RNA is filed under the name Lathyrus oleraceus (garden pea). RNAcentral's name for it is "Pisum sativum (pea) long non-coding RNA (PSAT_LNC005399)". Lineage: Eukaryota; Viridiplantae; Streptophyta; Magnoliopsida; Fabales; Fabaceae. The record is from RNAcentral.